CUAAACCCCGCUCUCUCUCUCUACACCUCUUUACUUUUCCUCCGCCGUCCGCCGUCCGCCAUGGGCGACCGCCGUGAUCGUGACCGUGACCGUGACCGUGGGGACCGCGACCGCGAUAGAGACCGUGACCGGAAGAGAAUCCGUGAAGAGCGUGACCUUGACCGCAGCAAACGCUCCCGUUCCCGUACACCCGACCGCACCCGAACCCGCCACACCCGAUCUCGCACCCGUUCCCCCGAUGACAGAGACCGCCACCGCCACCGCCACCACCGCUCCCGCUCCCGCUCCCGCUCAGUCGCCUCUCCUCCCAGGAAGCGCCACAAGGACGACGACGACGUUUCCAGAGAAAAGGACAAGCGCAAGGACGACGCCGUUUCCAAGGACAAGAUGAAGAAGAAGAAGGAGAAUUCCGUCACUAAGGAGGAGGGAAUCGUCGACGGCGAGAUGAUGGACGACGACGAGAUGGAGAUGAUGAAGAAAUUCGGGAUUCCGGUGGGGUUCGACACCACCAAGGGAAAACCGGUCGCCGGAAACGACGUCGGCGCUGUGAGGAAGGUCACGAAGCGGCAACCGCGGCAGUACAUGAACCGCCGUGGGGGUUUCAAUCGCCCCUUGCCUGCCGAAGUCAAUCGUUAAUUGAGGAGAGGGAUUUUCCAUUGCCCCCCCAGAUGGAAGUUGUUCAUGCCAUGCCAUUCAUUAAAGACGAAGAUUGCCUUUGCCCUUUUGGUUUAGAUGAUUUGGGACAAACUGGACACGAUAAGCCGCUUGGUUUUUAUGCGUAGGUGUUUCUGCUACAUCCUCAUCCCUUCGUAAAGGUCCGAAAUGUGAAUUUUUUUAAUGAAAUCAUAACUGUUGUGAUAUAUAUCCAUACAUUUCCCUUGUUCGUAGAUGUUUGUCUAUGAAAAAUUAUAGCUUUAUCACUUACACGAUGGUUCUGCACUUGCUAUAUUUAUUCAAUUAUCCA
Erythranthe guttata (spotted monkey flower) is the source of this 964-nucleotide RNA transcript. It is a transcript of the gene named U4/U6.U5 small nuclear ribonucleoprotein, with no coding region annotated. The record is from RefSeq and is a predicted model, not a curated record. NCBI's taxonomy places the organism in Eukaryota, Viridiplantae, Streptophyta, Magnoliopsida, Lamiales, Phrymaceae.